UAACACAUGCAAGUCGAACGGCAGCAUGGUCUAGCUUGCUAGGCUGAUGGCGAGUGGCGAACGGGUGAGUAACGCGUAGGAAUAUGCCUUAAAGUGGGGGACAACUUGGGGAAACUCAAGCUAAUACCGCAUAAUCUCCUUGGAGAAAAGCUAGGGACCUUCGGGCCUGGCGCUUUAAGAUUAGCCUGCGUCCGAUUAGCUAGUUGGUAGGGUAAAGGCCUACCAAGGCGACGAUUGGUAGCUGGUCUGAGAGGAUGGCCAGCCACACUGGAACUGAGACACGGUCCAGACUCCUACGGGAGGCAGCAGUGGGGAAUAUUGGACAAUGGGGGCAACCCUGAUCCAGCAAUGCCGCGUGUGUGAAGAAGGCCUGAGGGUUGUAAAGCACUUUCAGUGGGGAGGAGGGUUACUAGGUUAAGAGCCAGGUAAUUGGACGUUACCCACAGAAGAAGCACCGGCUAACUCCGUGCCAGCAGCCGCGGUAAUACGGAGGGUGCGAGCGUUAAUCGGAAUUACUGGGCGUAAAGGGUGCGUAGGUGGUUAAUUAAGUUAUCUGUGAAAUCCCCGGGCUCAACCUGGGCAGGUCAGAUAAUACUGGUUAACUCGAGUAUGGGAGAGGGUAGUGGAAUUUCCGGUGUAGCGGUGAAAUGCGUAGAGAUCGGAAGGAACACCAGUGGCGAAGGCGGCUACCUGGCCUAAUACUGACACUGAGGCACGAAAGCGUGGGGAGCAAACAGGAUUAGAUACCCUGGUAGUCCACGCUGUAAACGAUGUCAACUAGCUGUUGGGUUAUAUGAAUAUAAUUAGUGGCGCAGCARACGCGGAUAAGUUGACCGCCCUGGGGGAG
Molecule: ribosomal RNA, 847 nt
Filed under: uncultured bacterium
Lineage: Bacteria
Description: bacterial SSU rRNA
Rfam family: Bacterial small subunit ribosomal RNA
Source: RNAcentral